UACGGAGGGAGCUAGCGUUGUUCGGAAAUACUGGGCGUAAAGCGCACGUAGGCGGCGCAGCAAGUCAGGGGUGAAAGCCCCGGGCUCAACUCGGGAACUGCGCUUGAUACUGUCGAGCUAGAGUGUGGAAGGGGCGAUUGGAAUUCCGUGUGUAGCGGUGAAAUGCGUAGAUAUACGGAGGAACACCAGAGGCGAAGGCGGAUCGCUGGGCCAACGCUGACGCUGAGACGCGAAAGCUAGGGUAGCAAACGGG
RNAcentral lists this ribosomal RNA (253 nucleotides) under uncultured bacterium. RNAcentral's name for it is "partial 16S ribosomal RNA". It matches the Rfam family "Bacterial small subunit ribosomal RNA", at positions 524 to 776 of the family's 1533-position model. The record is from RNAcentral.